CUUUUCCCUACCAUACUGCUUACUUACCUAUGUAUCAUUUUCUCUAAAAAAUAAUCAAAAGGAAAUCACUAAAAAUGUCUUUGAGGGGGAACUGGGUGGGAGACGGCUUUAAACAUCAUGACUUCUCUCGACAGUCUGCUCCUUCUUGUUUUCUAUUUCCCGGUUAUUCUUCCUGAGUACCGCCACUCAGAGCUUCUUCCUACCAAUCCAGAAAACCUCUGAAGUUGUGAAGCCGCAAGGACCUGUGGUAGCCAAGGGGCAGAUCUGUGUAGCAUAGGAUCUGGGUGUGAGACCAAAAGCCCAAGUCACUCAGCACUCACAGACUUGCCAAUAUGCCGGUCAUUUACUGGAUUUCCUUACAUACUUGAUUUGAUUUUCACAUUUGUGCGCUUUGCCGGUAUCAACACAUUGGUAGACCUGCUUUCCAUUCACUUGACUACCUUCAGUGUGAGAGAUCUUUCAGUCACUAAGGAAGAAAAUGAACCAUCAGGUUUGGAUCACAAUGCAUGAGGCAAAUCAUAGUUUGUCAGCUGAUUAUAAGGCACUUCUAAUGUGUGGGGCAAAGUAAGCAUGCUUUCACUUUUGUAUUGGGGAAAAAUAGUCAACAUCAAAGAAUGUUAAUUAUAUUGAUUAACUUCAAAACAAUGUGAAGAGAGGUAGUUUUAACUGUGUAUUUUCUCUCUGGUUGCCGUUUCAGCUACAAUAUGGCUAGGUUGUUCAGUGGUAACCAACUAUCCUCCAAAUCUGACCAGUUUUUUGACUUAAAUUUUUGUUUAUUUCUUAAACGACACUCCAUAUCCAGUGGGAGUUGGCAGGAGGCUCUGCUCCACAGCGUGCUCUAUUUGGGACCCCUGAAUUGCAAGAGUCUUCUUUUAGUACCUGACAGUCACCACACAAAGACAAGGACAAGGUUGAACCAUGACCUCUGUCUUCAACUUCGAUCAGGACAUCACUUCCAUCUCAGUGGCAAAUCUAACUUCAUUUCUUGCAGGAAUGCAAUUCCACCCCCGAGAGGAGAGGCAGCAAAAAUGAGUUGUCUUGGACCUCUGACCUCACUUGAAGAUGCCUUUCUUUUGGAUCUGCCCUAUAUAUUGACCCACAAGUUCAAGACCUGAGAGAUAUCUGCAGGCUCUUUUAUAGCAGAAUGAUGGGACUCCUGCAAUGGGGGAAUUUGCAAAAAGCAAUGACUUCAGACACGGUGCACUUCACUGAAAUGUGAAGGUAAGUGUUUGGAGACUCUGCUUUCUUAGCAUCGAGUCUUUGCUUCAUCGUACAGCCUCACACCUCCUCUUGGGCCUAAACACAGUGAAGCCUCCUUUCCACCUGCAGUGCUCCCUUCGCCACUGGAGGAUUAGCGAUGCCAAUAAAAUACCUAGGCUCUUUGGCAGUGACUUACACAGAUGUGCAUGUUUCUAAUUACAGGAAAUUGUUAGAACAUGACUUGGACUAGAUAUACACAACUCAGAAUCCAGGAAGAAACAGUGCUUUGUUUUCCAAAAGAAGAAAAUAAGAGCUUCAUUUUAAUCAUUUCCCUUCCUUUCUCUCUCUUUUUGUUUGAUUUCCAUGCAUGGGCAAUAUCUUAAACUGGCAGUACAAGAAGUUCUUGCAAAUGAUGGAACCAUUUCUUCCCUGACAUCGGACAUACUUCGUCUGUUACCUAAUUUACCAUCUAUCCACGUCCUCGCUACAAUUUCUUAUUCAGAAUUCUGUGACCUGCCAUUGUUUUGGGAUGAGAC
This is a long non-coding RNA of Fukomys damarensis (Damara mole-rat), 1736 nucleotides long. NCBI's taxonomy places the organism in Eukaryota, Metazoa, Chordata, Mammalia, Rodentia, Bathyergidae. The record is from Ensembl.